ACGCACGCUGGCGGCGUGCUUAACACAUGCAGGUCGAACGGUGAAGCGCCUUCCUUUUUGGUGGGUGUGGAUGAGUGGCGAACGGGUGAGUAACACGUGAGUAACCUGCCCCCUUCUUCUGGAUAACCGCAUGAAAGUGUGGCUAAUACGGGAUAUUCUGGGUCUGUCGCAUGAUGGGUCUGGGAAAGAUAUUGUUUCGGUGGGGGAUGGGCUCGCGGCCUAUCAGCUUGUUGGUGGGGUGAUGGCCUACCAAGGCGGUGACGGGUAGCCGGCCUGAGAGGGUGGACGGUCACACUGGGACUGAGACACGGCCCAGACUCCUACGGGAGGCAGCAGUGGGGAAUAUUGCACAAUGGGCGCAAGCCUGAUGCAGCGACGCCGCGUGAGGGAUGGAGGCCUUCGGGUUGUGAACCUCUUUCGCCAGUGAAGCAGGCCUGCCUCGUUUGUGGGUGGGUUGACGGUAGCUGGAUAAGAAGCGCCGGCUAACUACGUG
This 493-nucleotide ribosomal RNA is filed under the name uncultured bacterium. RNAcentral's name for it is "partial 16S ribosomal RNA". It matches the Rfam family "Bacterial small subunit ribosomal RNA", at positions 29 to 507 of the family's 1533-position model. The record is from RNAcentral.